UCCAUAUAGCUCAGCUGGGAGAGCGCCUGCCUUGCACGCAGGAGGUCAGCGGUUCGAUCCCGCUUGGCUCCA
Molecule: transfer RNA, 72 nt
Filed under: Pseudomonas syringae
Lineage: Bacteria; Pseudomonadati; Pseudomonadota; Gammaproteobacteria; Pseudomonadales; Pseudomonadaceae
Also listed under: 1 other name
Description: tRNA-Ala
Rfam family: tRNA (bases 5-66)
About the family: Transfer RNA (tRNA) molecules are approximately 80 nucleotides in length. Their secondary structure includes four short double-helical elements and three loops (D, anti-codon, and T loops). Further hydrogen bonds mediate the characteristic L-shaped molecular structure. tRNAs have two regions of fundamental functional importance: the anti-codon, which is responsible for specific mRNA codon recognition, and the 3' end, to which the tRNAs corresponding amino acid is attached (by aminoacyl-tRNA synthetases). tRNAs cope with the degeneracy of the genetic code in two manners: having more than one tRNA (with a specific anti-codon) for a particular amino acid; and 'wobble' base-pairing, i.e. permitting non-standard base-pairing at the 3rd anti-codon position.
Source: RNAcentral